This 875-nucleotide long non-coding RNA is filed under the name Olea europaea subsp. europaea. Lineage: Eukaryota; Viridiplantae; Streptophyta; Magnoliopsida; Lamiales; Oleaceae. The record is from RNAcentral.
GAAAAUGUCUUAAGUGUGCAUAUUGCACUCUUUAUUCAUACCUCGUCGAAAUCAUACAGUAUCUUGUCCAGAUUUGGAACAGAAACACGAGAAGCAUCCGUUGAUCAGUUUAAAAUUUGCAGUAAAAUGCGAGAAAACCUGGUACACACUUCACGGGAUAACAAUGGGAUCGACUCAUAUAUCCAUAAUUGGAAUGCGAGUGGGAAUCCGUAUAGUGUAUAUGAAAUUAUAGACUUCGAAUGACACAAAUUCUGUUUGGGCUCUUCGAGAUGAAUAUUCAUGUGGAAGUGUUUGUUUUGGUACAGCUCUUUAACCACGGAAAUGUGGUCAUGUACGUAGAGUCCAAGAUUCACAUUAAUGCUUCGCUUAUGACGGUGGGCUAUGGGGUUGUGUAUAGGAAGGAUGUUAAAAGGUGCAAUAUCCCCAACUUCACAAUGUCGCUGUCUAGCAUGUUCUAGGGAUGGUUUAGAAAAAUCUGUUCAAAAUUCUUCCUGUACACUCUCUUCAUGUCUCUGAAAUAAAUCGUUUUCAGUCUGCAUUCACCAAUUUUAAACAUACUUGUGUUGUCUUCUCCAACGCAUAUCAACCCGGUCACCACAUAGAAUUCUUGAAUUGAAAAUAUAAGGAGAUUUCCAGUAACAUUGAACCACAUUUCAUUAUCAUUGGACUGCUUCACUUCCAUCAAAAGCAUUUUAUGUACGUUUGGUGUUGAAUCCGAAUAUAAUUCAUCCGGAGGAAGUGUCCAAAACAUGUUCUAGAAAAAAUUUGCUUCCAUGUUUUAGUUAGAUUGUCUUUUAGAUCCGAAAGUACGUCAUCUUUGAAAAAAACAUUGAGGCUAGCACCUACUCUAUUCCCUACUUCUACGAAGUAUACAG